GUGGGUGUAGCUCAGUUGGUUAGAGCGCCAGGUUGUGGUCCUGGAAGUCGGGGGUUCGAAUCCCCUCAUCCACCCCA
Molecule: transfer RNA, 77 nt
Filed under: Myxococcales bacterium
Lineage: Bacteria; Pseudomonadati; Myxococcota; Myxococcia; Myxococcales
Also listed under: 1 other name
Description: tRNA-His
Rfam family: tRNA
About the family: Transfer RNA (tRNA) molecules are approximately 80 nucleotides in length. Their secondary structure includes four short double-helical elements and three loops (D, anti-codon, and T loops). Further hydrogen bonds mediate the characteristic L-shaped molecular structure. tRNAs have two regions of fundamental functional importance: the anti-codon, which is responsible for specific mRNA codon recognition, and the 3' end, to which the tRNAs corresponding amino acid is attached (by aminoacyl-tRNA synthetases). tRNAs cope with the degeneracy of the genetic code in two manners: having more than one tRNA (with a specific anti-codon) for a particular amino acid; and 'wobble' base-pairing, i.e. permitting non-standard base-pairing at the 3rd anti-codon position.
Source: RNAcentral